AACGAACGCUGGCUGCAUGCCUAACACAUGCAAGUCGCACGAUUGCCUUCGGGUGAUUUUGGCUCACGGGUGCGUAACGCGUGGGGAUCUGCUCUUAGGUUCGGAAUCACAGCUGCACACGGCUGCUAAUACCGGAUGAUAUCGCUAGUUCAAAGAUUUAUCGCUUGAGGAUGUGCCCGCGUUGGAUUAGGUAGUUGGUGGGGUAAAGGCAUACCAAGCCGACGAUCCAUAGCUGGUCUGAGAGGAUGAUCAGCCACACUUGGACUGAGACACGGCCCAGACUCGUACGGGAGGCAGCAGUGGGGAAUAUUGGACAAUGAGGGAAAGCCUGAGCCAGCAAUGCCGCGUGAGGGAUGAAGGCCUUAGGGUUGGAAAGAUCGUUUACCCGGGAAGAUAAUGAAGGUACCGGGAGAAUAAGCCCCGGCUAACUCCGUG
This 435-nucleotide ribosomal RNA is filed under the name uncultured bacterium. RNAcentral describes it as "partial 16S ribosomal RNA". It matches the Rfam family "Bacterial small subunit ribosomal RNA", at positions 29 to 507 of the family's 1533-position model. The record is from RNAcentral.